RNAcentral lists this ribosomal RNA (555 nucleotides) under Cytospora donetzica. RNAcentral describes it as "eukaryotic LSU rRNA". It matches the Rfam family "Eukaryotic large subunit ribosomal RNA", at positions 75 to 656 of the family's 3401-position model. Lineage: Eukaryota; Fungi; Ascomycota; Sordariomycetes; Diaporthales; Cytosporaceae. The record is from RNAcentral.
UGCCCCUAGUACGGCGAGUGAGCGGCAACAGCUCAAUUUGAAAGCUGGCUCCGGCCCGCAUUGUAAUUUGCAGAGGAUGCUUUUGGCGAGGUGCCUUCCGAGUUCCCUGGAACGGGACGCCAUAGAGGGUGAGAGCCCCGUAUGGAUGGACACCAGACCUGUGUAAAGCUCCUUCAACGAGUCGAGUAGUUUGGGAAUGCUGCUCUAAAUGGGAGGUAAAUCUCUUCUAAAGCUAAAUACCGGCCAGAGACCGAUAGCGCACAAGUAGAGUGAUCGAAAGAUGAAAAGCACCUUGAAAAGGGGGUUAAACAGUACGUGAAAUUGUUGAAAGGGAAGCAUUUAUGACCAGACUUGCGCCGGGCAGCUCAUCAGGGGUUCUCCCCUGUGCACUCUGCCCGGCUCAGGCCAGCAUCGGUUCUCGUGGGAGGAUAAGAACAGUGGGAACGUGGCCCCCCUCCGGGGGGGUGUUAUAGCCCAUUGUACGAUACUCUCGUGGGGACCGAGGUUCGCGCUCCGCAAGGAUGCUGGCGUAAUGGUCAUCAAUGACCCGUCUUA